This 1084-nucleotide unclassified non-coding RNA is filed under the name Hevea brasiliensis (rubber tree). Lineage: Eukaryota; Viridiplantae; Streptophyta; Magnoliopsida; Malpighiales; Euphorbiaceae. The record is from RNAcentral.
GGAUCCAGCACUCACAUCAUCAUGAGCAUAUGAGCGAAGCAUUGAUCUGUUGAUAGAAAUAAAUUGAGCCAAGGCCUUCGAUACAGCAAAUAUUUCACCGGAAGCAUGCCUGAAGUAUGAUUUUCCAUCCCCAAAUUUCCACCACUCUGGCUCAUACCAUUUCUGUUCCGGCUGUGAAAAAACUUCGCCAGAUUUCAUACACCCUAUGUAGGCACGAGGCUUAUCCAGAUAGGUGGUAAGUACAGAUCCAAUAGCAUCUAAAUUAACAUAGACAUUGUCGUUGACCUUGGCAUAAAACUCAGCAUCCCAAUGCUCAACAGCGUGAGCAAAAAAUGACUUUGUCUUCUUUGAUUGCUCUUGAGGGGACUCCACAUGAUCAUUAAGAAUGAUGAAGUCAUCGAAACUCCUGCUUUCAUCAUCAAUGGCUCUAUCCGAACUAUCUCCACGAUUCAAACUUCUUCCUAUGACAAAUCGAAUUACGAUACCUUUCUCCUCCUCUAACUUUUUACGAGCAGGACCAGUAGGCAUCCAUGCUUUGCGAAUUGCGUCUCUGUUUUUCUUGUUGCCAAAAUUUGUAGAGACACCUAUAACAGCUAGAAGUUUUUUCUUUGAAUCCUUCUCAUUGUUAUCCAGUAGAUGCUUUGACACAAAACCUUCCUCACUGGCUUUACCCAGUUCCAUCUGAAGUGCAGUCAGCCUCUUCUGUUGUUCCCUGCAGGUUAUGAUCUUCAGUGUAUCAUCUACUGAUAUAGCCGAACGGCCCUGUCCGGUUCUCCUAUCAAGCUCUUGAAUAAGAUAUACCCUAUUCUCCGAGUCCAUCCACAACCUGCCGGCAACAUAAAGAGCAGCCAUUGUAGAGAACAUAGAGAGCAUUAGAAACGAGAUUCGAGAUCGGAAAUUGGAGGUGGAUGAUAACCGGUUGGCGGAACCCCUGCUAUUCAUUUCUACUAUACGUCGUCGACUCCGACGGAUCAGUACUCGUCAGCGGCCGGAUACGUCGAUUGAUAUCGGAUGAAUUUAGACUGAUCGGAGCUGAUUGAAUUGCCUAGAUUUUCGAUCCAAUUGUCAAUUUGGGAUAUUUUUU